Molecule: unclassified non-coding RNA, 1857 nt
Filed under: Hevea brasiliensis (rubber tree)
Lineage: Eukaryota; Viridiplantae; Streptophyta; Magnoliopsida; Malpighiales; Euphorbiaceae
Source: RNAcentral
AGUUUGACCGUAAGCAAAAAUGCAUACCUUGUAACCAUCAAGCGCACUCUGUAUCAGUUGAGAUAUUUCUACAAAAACAUCUUGCUGAGAAGCAUCAUGACUAAACACCUUGUCAAAUGUGAAAGGAUAUUUCUGCCCACUUUGUAUCAAGUCAAUUCCCCGACCAAGAGUUUCUACUGACGUAGGAUAAGAAAUAACAGGCGCUUCUGUUCCAACACUAUCAUCUGGUAACGAAGGUCGCACUCUACAGAACACUCGAAUAUUCCCCUUUAAUUCCAAGAUAGUGUUAUGCAGCUUUUUCCUUAAUUUUUCUCCUUCGAUUAAUUGAUGUUCUGCUUCCAUAAGGCGCUCUUGCAGGUCUCGUGUAGUUCUUCUUUGUUCUUCAAAUUCUGUCCUUGCUUCUUCUGUUGAUAGAUCAGCCAUCUUUAACUUCUCAUUAGCAGCAGUUAACUGGUGCUCUAAUAAAUGUAUACGCUCUCUUUGAGUAGAACAUGUCUCCUGCACCAGAAAACCUAGUCUCAGAAAUUGGGAAUCUGUAUGUGUAGAACUUAGGAAGUGGUCUGAGCAAACCUCCAAGGAUUUUGUUUUUGCCAUCAAAUUAUCUAUCUCGGCAAAUGAUUUGCCUGUGCUUUCUUUAUACUUCAAAACUUCAGCUGUUAAAGCUUGCACCUGUGCUGUUUGGCGAUCACGAUCAUCUCUGACUUGCUGCAGUUCCCCUCGAAGGCAUUUGACUUCAUUAACUAAUGAUUCUUUCUGAUUCAUAGCCUCAUCUUGGGAAGCUCUGGAUAAAGUUAAUUGAUCUUGUAAUGAACUGUAGUGACCCCUUAAAGUACUAAGGUUCUCCACUAUAGUUGCUUUCUCUUUUUCCACUCGUUUGAGAGACUCGCGAGCAGUUUCAAGUUCAGCAUGCAGUUUGCUAUUGUACUGCUGUAGACUUAGGUUGUACUCUUGCAAUCGCUUAUACAUAUCAUCAAGUGAUGUAGCCCUCUGAUUAGCUGCCAAUAUAUCUUGCUGAGCUUUUUCAAGCUCUUUUGAGAGAGAAGCCUGCAAAGUUUCUACAGCAAUCCGAGCUUCUUUUUCUCUUGUAUGACAAUCAAUUGCAUCCAAUUUUUCUGAUUCUUCUUUUGUGAGUUUCUCCUGUAAAGAAGUAUUAUCCUUCCUUAAUUGGGAAAUAACUUCAUUAAAGCUCUCUUCCUUGUUUUUCAUCUCAACCUCCGAAUCAGCACAUCUUUUCUCGGAAGACUGCAAAGCAUUUCGAAGCUUCCCCUGCUCAUCAACGUGGGCUUCAUCUCUUUUCUGGAACCAUUUGAUGCAAAGCUUGAGCCUGUUAUUAAGCUCAUUCACUAGUUCCAAGUUGCCCUUGUGAUCAAACUUCUUCAUUUUGGGCUUCUCAUUCACCAAUGCUUCAACUUCUUCUUUUGUGAACUCGAUGUUCUCACUCUCCGAACCCUCAGUGCUGCCUACAUCACCAGAUGCAGUAACAUCCUGCCUUUUGUUAACUGACCCAAACGGCUUGCGGUCAGUACUGGUUGGUCCCCCAAUUCUUCCUGCACCAAUCCUCCUACGCUUGUCUAAUGGGACACCACCACCACCUCCUCCACCGCCAACACCAUCCUUAGCUGAAGGGCUUCGAGGAGGUCUGUUCUGGUUCCGAGAAGCCAUAAUCUGAACUAUAAGAAAACUAAGCCGAACUCAAAGCAGAAGGUUUCAACAGAUUCCUAUGUGGUGCAUUCAAGGAGGUCAAGAUUCAAUUGGAGCCGUUGAUUUCCCUGAUGAAAGGAAGAGUUCGAAAUCAGUAGAGUAGGAAUCUGGAGGCAGAGAGAGAGGGAGAGGGGAGGAGGGGAGCGCUGCUUUGUG